Molecule: long non-coding RNA, 667 nt
Organism: Manihot esculenta (cassava)
Lineage: Eukaryota; Viridiplantae; Streptophyta; Magnoliopsida; Malpighiales; Euphorbiaceae
Exons: 2
Source: RefSeq, a predicted model, not a curated record
ACGAUUUGUUGAUGGAUGCAUGAUUCUUUUAAAAUGGUUUGAGGUUUAAGUUCUCACUUUUAGAUGAUGGAUGUUGCCUUAUAGAUCAAUGCAUGAUGAAGUUAGGUUAUUUUUAAGUGGUUCUAGUGUGUUGAGUUAUUUUUUGUUGUUGUUGAACCAUUGCAUGGGAAUUCCAUUGUGUUUUGGUGGCUGUGAGUUAAGGUAGAAUCGAAUUCUGCCUUGCUAGAGAAUCCAGGUUUGGCCAUUAAAGUAAAGUUCAAUUGCCAAACCGGCCUGUGGAGGUAGCCUUUUAGCCGUCUAACCUGCCUCCGAAGGUUUAACUUUCGGAUCUGUGAAUGAGCUUUAGGCCACUAAAUCUGCUCCCCUGUCCAGUCUUUUUUAGCUUGUUUCCUACGUGUGUUCUUAUAUGUUUAUAGGGGUUUAUUGGAGUAGUUUUUUGAGUUAUAAAAAUUAUGUUUGGUCUCUCAUUUAAGUCUAUCUAUGUAGGAUCAAACUUGGGAGACCAUAAAAACUUGCAAUGAGAUAACUGUUUCAGAGUUAGGUGUGCAUCAGUCAGAGGUUUGUAGGAUCAGAGUUAGCUCGGGAGGUCGGUUGAGUUGUUAGUAUAGUCCGUUGUAAUAGUAUAACAGUGGACAUGUAUUGAUUUAUGGAUUAAAAUUGUGCUUCA